UUGGAGGGCAAGUCUGGUGCCAGCAGCCGCGGUAAUUCCAGCUCCAAUAGCGUAUAUUAAAGUUGUUGCAGUUAAAAAGCUCGUAGUUGGAUUUCGGAGUUUGUCGGUUGGUCGGGCUUCAUUGUCCGCACUGGCCUGAUGGAUUCCUACCUUCUGAAUAACCAGCAUGCUAUUAAGUUAGUGCGUUGGGGAAGCAGAGCUAUUACCUUGAAAAAAUUAGAGUGCUUAAAGCAGGCUUAUGCUUGAAUAGAUUAGCAUGGAAUAAUAAAAUAGGACGGCAUGGUUCUAUUUUAUUGGUUUCUAGGAUCACCGUAAUGAUUAAUAGGGAUAGUUGGGGGCAUUAGUAUUCAAUUGUCAGAGGUGAAAUUCUUGGAUUUAUUGAAGACUAACUUCUGCGAAAGCAUUUGCCAAGGAUGUUUUCAUUAAUCAAGAACGAAAGUUAGGGGAUCGAAGACGAUCAGAUACCGUCGUAGUCUUAACCAUAAACUAUGCCGACUAGGGAUCGGACGAUGUUAAUUUUUUAAUGACUCGUUCGGCGCCUUACGGGAACC
RNAcentral lists this ribosomal RNA (551 nucleotides) under uncultured Glomeromycotina. RNAcentral's name for it is "SSU rRNA". It matches the Rfam family "Eukaryotic small subunit ribosomal RNA", at positions 548 to 1098 of the family's 1831-position model. The record is from RNAcentral. Lineage: Eukaryota; Fungi; Glomeromycota.